GCGCUAUUGGAUGAGCCUACGUCGGAUUAGCUAGUUGGUGAGGUAAUGGCUCACCAAGGCGACGAUCCGUAGCUGGUCUGAGAGGACGAUCAGCCACACUGGGACUGAGACACGGCCCAG
Molecule: ribosomal RNA, 120 nt
Filed under: uncultured bacterium
Lineage: Bacteria
Description: partial 16S ribosomal RNA
Rfam family: Bacterial small subunit ribosomal RNA
Source: RNAcentral